GCGGGCCAUAGACUACACAACAUUUGUACAAAUGCGAUGAAAUUCGAUGAAAUUUUGUCGCUGUGAGCACGAUUUGCAUAGUGUAUGGCACUGCUUGAAUGAGCGCCCAAACGGUUGGAGUAAAAUCGGUCGGGAUCGAAAUAUUUUGUACAAAACAUUCUCCCAGCCGGGGUGGAGAUGGUUUUUUUUGUUGCUGUUGCUGUUUUCGCCAGCAAUCAUUUGUGUUCGCGUGAAAUAUGUUUGUAUAGUGUAUGGGCGAGCAUAGAUCAAACAAUCGUCGUGGAAUCAUCGAAUUUGUACAGGCCAAUUUGUGUAGUCUAUGGCCCGCUUUAUGUAGAAGCCCAUACCCUCCGGAGCUUGUAACUCAAUCCUGCAAUAGGAAGUUCGCCCUAAGGAAGACAAAUCCCAGCUUUGCUUUAAUAUAUAUCCUUGACGAGGAUGGUGGAGCUUGAUGGGAUCGUUCUGUGAUAAGAUGUUAUCAUACAGUGAAAUACGACCAGAACUGCAAAGUCCUUCUCCGUAGAGAUUAUCUAAAAAGGAAAAUAUAAAUACAUUGGAUUUUAAUCCAUUUAAACUGAAAUAUCCACGAUGACUCACGUAUUUUAUAAUGAUUAUGAUUAUCAUCAAUGGAACAGGAGAUUUCGAGGACCAAAUGCGAAAACGCCAACACGAUCAGGUAAUAAAUGCUGAUCUUUUUGCGUUCGGAAGCCAUCGUUGAAAUUGGGGAUUCAAUUCAACGUAAGGUAAAGGUAGUGUUGAGGCCAACUGUACAUCCGUCGACCCUCCGAUUCGAGCAACGGCUCAGCUAAAAACGAAACUGGCAACUAUGCCAAACCAAGCAGAAUUGGUGAGGGUGCACAAAGAAGAUCUGUCACCGAACGGAAAUCAAAACAGUGAGGAAGUACCAAACGUGGUCGAAACAGCUUAGAGUAAACCGUGGAACUAAAACCCGAUAUCUUUUCCAAUUGUAAGAAUUCAGUUUAAACACUAAAAUCUUUUAAGCUGAUCAAAUCAAGCUAAAAAGGGUGUUUAAUAUUGCGUUCGAAACCCUGUCGCGAAGCUAAUCCGCAACAAACUUAAAAGAUUUUACUUACGAAAAAUCGAAUCUGAUAUCGGAAAGAUGCCACCGAAAGUCGUAAGAACUUUCAGCUGUAGCCUCUGUAAGGAUCCAGACAAUAACCACAUGGUGCAGUGCGACCGGUGCCAAUCUUGGUACCAUUAUCAAUGCGUGGGCGUUGGUGAUUCUGUGGCGGACCGGAGCUGGCUCUGUCCAAGUUGUGACAAACAUAGUACCACUGUGGCACCUGAAACGCUGAGGAAAAAUGAAUCCAAAUCCCAGAGGUCUAAAGCGAGUACGUCGACAUCAGUUAAGGCCGCAAAAGCGGCUCUGGACUUGCAGCAGCUCCAAGAGCAGAAACAACUCGAACUACAACGCAUUCAGGAGGAAACGAUUCAAGCCGAGAAGGAAGUUGCUCUGGCGAAGAGUCGCCUGGAGAGCGAGAAAAAACAACGCGAAAAAGAAGCAGCUCUCGAGAAGAAGCGCCUCGAGGAUGAACGAAAACGCCAAGAAGCUGAAGAGGAAUUUGAGCGGUUGCAGCUCAAAAAGGAGACAAUCCGUCAGGAAGCCUUGAGGAAGCUAGAGGAAAAAUUCCUAGCAGAGAAAUAUCGUAUCCUCAAUGCUCAGCUUGACGAGGACGGUAGCAGUAAAAGCGGGUGCAGCGAGUUCAGCGGAAGGAGAACAAAGCAAUGGGUAGAGGACCUGUUGAAAAACCAUGAAGUUAUUUGUCAUGAUGAGAGACCGAAUGAAGCUGGCCCAAAUCGAAUCAGAGAUCCACUGGAAGAACCGAAACAACCACUCAACUCGACUGAAAUAGUGAAUCCUAAUGGAAAUGCACGAAACCUAGAAAUUCGUGAGCACGCUGACAGAAUUCGUGAAUUUCCCAUUGAAUCCCCAAUUCGAAGUGAUCAUAAUCAGCCCCCGGUUCCCAAAGUAGACGGUAGAUUGGGAACCCAAGAUCACGUUCAGAGAGAAUGCGAAUUUCCGAAUCAACAAAACAUCUCAUCAGGUUGCAACACCCUAACCAGUGGUCAGCUCGCGGCGCGUUCAGUGUUUUCCAAAGAACUGCCAACGUUUACUGGAAACCCCGAAGAGUGGCCGUUAUUUUACAGUAGCUACCUGACUGGAACGAAAGAGUGUGGGCUUACUAACGCGGAAAAUCUUAUUCGUCUUCAGCGUUGCCUCAAAGGCGAAGCUUUAGAAGCCGUACGAAGUUGUUUACUGAUUCCCGAAACGGUUCCUUGUGCUAUGGAAACACUGGAAAUGUGCUACGGAAGACCAGACGUACUGGUAAACACACUUCUAGUCAAGAUCCGAAACACUCCCGCUCCCAAGGAAGGUCGGUUAGAGACCUUGAUUGCUUAUGGGUUGGCUAUCAAAAACUUUUGCAAUCACAUUCUCGCAGCAAAACUAGAAGACCACUUCAAUAACCCCACGUUGCUUCAGGAGUUGGUAGAAAAGCUUCCGAUGGAAACAAAAAUGAAAUGGGCGGACUAUAUGGAACUCACAGGUGAAAGAAGCUUGGGUUGUUUUGGUAGAUUUAUGCACGAGGUUUUACGAAAGGCUAUCACGGUAACCCCCUACAAUCCUCAUACAGUGAACAAGCCAGUGAGAGGGGAGGAGCCAAGACCUAAAGGUGGUGUGAAGUAUAAAGGGUACCUCAAUCAUCACAGCGAAGCUCAAGCACCUGGAGAAGGCAAAGAUGAUCAGCCCCAUAUCAAGAAGGCUUGCAUAGCAUGCGAAAAACCAGGUCACAGAUUGGAGAAUUGCGGUAAGUUCGAAAACUAUUCUAUUGAUGAACGCCGAAAGAUCGUCCGAUUACAUAACCUUUGUUGGAGUUGCCUUAAAAGUCAUGUCCCUUGGCCGUGUCGCCGUCCUAAGGAUUGUUCGUAUGAAGGUUGUCGCUACCGUCACCACCCUUUACUCCACUCACCUCCUUCAGAAGGACGACCGAAUCCCAGCCCCAAUAAUUUCCAUCGAACUGAUAGUACUGCUAUCUAUCGAAUCGUUCCCGUCACUAUACACAACGGAUCACAAUCCAUCCCUACUUUUGCCCUCCUUGACGAAGCCUCCGAAGUCACGAUGAUCGAGCAAGAUCUUGCCGAUAACCUUAAUCUCAAAGGUACCCUAGAACCAUUACACUUGCAAUGGACCGCUAACGUUACUCGCUUCGAAGAAAACUCUCGUUCAAUUGACCUACAGAUUUCCGGGAAGGACAAGAGAAAACGAUACUGUUUGAAAAACGCCAGAACAGUCGAGGUCUUAGAGCUUCCGAUUCAGUCCAUUUGCCAUCAAGAACUUAUUGAAGAGUAUCCGCACCUACGAGGCCUCCCUCUAACCGACUAUGAAUUCGCCCGACCACAACUGCUAAUAGGUCUCGAAAAUAUUCACCUUGCCACGCCUUUGAAAAUCUGUGAAGGAGCACAUGGGCAACCGAUAGCCACAAAGACACGCCUAGGGUGGUGUAUCUACGGAGCAAUUCCAUGUCUAAAAACACGUAAAUCCUAUCAGCAGCUGUUUCAUGGAAACGAACAGACCGAAGAUGAGAAAUUAAAUGAAAUUAUCAAGCAACAUAUUGUUAUAGACAACUUAGGUGUUCGUAGCACAGGAAUAGCACUCGAGUCCAAUGAAGAUAAGCGUGCUCGAGAAAUAUUAGAAUCCACCACACGCCGAAUUCCUGGAGGGUUUGAAACCGGAAUUUUGUGGAAAAGCGACAAUGUUGUCUUUCCGGAUGGGUUUUCUAUGGCUCUUAGUCGGUUAAACAGUUUAGAAAAGAAAAUUUAUAAAAAUCCCGAAUUGGCCAAUCGCGUAAAGCAACACAUUAACGAAUACCUUGAAAAGGGAUACGCUCAUAAAGCCACUUACGAGGAACUGAAUUCUGCGGAUCCGAAACGAGUCUGGUAUUUACCAUUAGGCGUCGUUAUUAGCCCCAAAAAACCAGAAAAACUGCGACUUAUUUGGGAUGCCUCGUCGAAAGUUCGGAACACCUCAUUCAACUCAUUGGUACUAAAAGGGCCGGAUCUACUCACGUCACUUCCUGCAAUUCUCUUCCGAUUUCGGUCUAGAAGGGUGGCAAUAUGUGGCGACUUGAAAGAAAUGUUCCACCAGAUAAAAAUUCGAAGUGAAGAUCUGUCUGCUCAGAGGUUCUUGUGGAGAGAUGAUCCAUCCGCCAAACCGGAAGUCUACACCAUGGACGUUGCAACUUUCGGUUCUGCCUGUUCACCUUGUUCAGCACACUACAUUAAAAACCUCAACGCCAGGGACUAUGAGGAUAAAUACCCUGAAGCAGCAGAGGCCAUAAUCAAUGGUCACUAUGUCGACGACUAUUUAGACAGCAAAGAUACAGAAGAGCAAAUAAUCAGUCUGACCAACGAUAUUCGAUUCGUACAUCGCCAAGGUGGGUUUGAAAUCCGAAAUUUCAGGUCUAAUUCUUCAUACGUUCUUAAAGCCAUCGGCGAGAUCCCCCUUCCGCCUAAAGAGUUGGGCAUAUUUCCGAAAGAAAUAGAAUCUGUACUGGGCAUUCAAUGGUUGCCAGUAAACGAUGUCUUUACCUUUUCCCUGAAUCUUCCGAACUUUGACCGCAAGCUAAUUGAUGGUUCAAUUCGCCCUACAAAACGCCAAAUACUAAGAAUAAUAAUGACCAUCUAUGACCCACUCGGAUUGCUGGCCGCAUUCAUAAUUCAAGGGAAAAUAAUCAUACAAAAACUGUGGAAAACUGGAUGUAACUGGGACGACGAAGUAAACGAUGAAAUAUUCUCGAACUGGAAACGAUGGACGAAUUUGUUCUCUGGAUUGGGUAACAUUCAUAUUCCAAGAUCCUACUUCGGGGCGGCUGUCCCCGAGCUUUGCAAACCAAUCCAACUCCAUGUACUUGUCGACGCCAGCGAAGAGGCAUAUGCUUGUGUCGCUUAUUUUCGCUACACCGACGGAGGCGUAAUUCGAUGUUCCCUAGUGGGUGGGAAAUCUAAGGUCGCUCCUGUUAAAACGCUGUCCAUCCCAAGGCUCGAACUACAGUCAGCAGUGUUGGGAACACGCCUAGCAGAUUUCAUACAAAAAAACCAUCAAAUACCAAUAACUGAACGAUUUUUCUGGACCGACUCAGCGACAGUGCUCCACUGGAUUCAUUCUGAUACACGCAAGUAUCAUUCAUACGUGGCCUGUAGGAUUGGAGAGAUUUUAACAUCAACAAACAUCAUGGAAUGGAAAUGGGUACCUUCUCGCAGCAACGUAGCCGACGAAGCCACCAAAUGGGGUCGGGGACCAUGCUUUGAAGCCGAGAGCAGAUGGUUGCGUGGACCAGAUUUCCUCUGGGGCAGCGAAGAUUCGUGGCCUGAACAAAAAUGGAAUCCAGCAAAUGGGAAUGAAGAAUUGCGCUCAAGUUACUUCCAUGCAAAGAAAGCCGACGAAAAACUAAUUGACGUUCACCGAUUCCACAAGUGGGAGAGAAUGCACCGAACAAUCGCGUAUGCAUUUCGAUUUGGCACUCCGCGAAGUCGCAGCGAAACAUCAAACGAACCGAAGUCUCUAGAACUUCUCGACCAAAAGUAUCUACGCCAAGCUGAAAUGGUAUUACUGCAGAUUAUCCAACAAGAAUCGUUUCCAGAGGAAAUGGUCGCAUUACGGAGAGUCCAAAAUGGAAAGCCUGCGGGGGUGGUGCCGAUCACCAGUCCGCUAUACAAAUUAUCAGCUUACAUCGAUGAAGAGGGAUUGGUCAGAAUGGACGGUCGUAUCGGCGCCGCCCCCAACUUGCCGAUCGAAGCUAAGUGUCCUAUAAUCCUAGCCAAAAACCAUCCUAUAACGUUCCUUCUUGUAGAUUACUAUCACCGCCGCUACUUGCAUCGAAAUGCCGAGACUGUUUUCAACGAGAUCCGCCAGCUUUUCUACAUAACGGGACUUCGGAAGCUGAUACGCACUGUAGGUUCCCGUUGUCAAUGGUGCAAGGUCUACGGCAGUUCCCCGAUGCAACCGAUGAUGGCUCCUUUACCGAAAGCUCGGCUCGUAGCGUUCCAGCGACCUUUCACCUACGUUGGUCUGGAUUACUUUGGCCCAAUCCUGGUUAGGGUUGGACGAUCGCAUGUGAAACGCUGGGUAGCCCUCUUCACAUGUUUUACAACCAGAGCUAUCCACCUUGAAGUCGCCCACAGCCUUUCCGCUGUCUCCUGUAAAUUCUGCAUACGCCGCUUUAUAGCUCGACGUGGGGCUCCAGCCGAAAUAUACACCGAUAAUGGCACAAACUUUAGAGGAGCCGCUAAUGAGCUGCAACGUCAACUUAACAACAUCAACCAAAGAUGCGCGGAGACAUUCACUAACACCAACACCAAAUGGUACUUCAACCCCCCAGCAGCACCUCAUACAGGCGGAGUCUGGGAGCGCCUAGUGCGAUCCGUAAAAACUGCACUAGAAGCCUUUCAUGACAUCCCUAGGGUUCCUGAUGACGAGACUUUUGAAACAAUCAUCUUGGAAGCCGAGAGCAUGAUAAAUAGCCGGCCGUUGACUUACAUACCACUGAACGAUGCGACCGAUGAGGCCUUAACACCAAACCAUUUCCUUCUUGGUAGCUCAACCGGAGUCAAACAACCACCGAAGGAUUCCACCAGUGCCCUUGAGUGUCUACGGAGCAGCUGGAAUCUAGCACAACAUAUCUUAGACGGGUUCUGGAGAAGAUGGUUGAGGGAAUACCUUCCAACCAUCGCCAGGCGCACCAAGUGGUUUAACAAUACGAAACCCAUCGAGGUAGGGGAUCUAGUCUUCGUUGCUGACGGAAAACAACGCAACAGCUGGGUCCGAGGAAAAAUUAUCGAGGUCACUCUUGGUAGAGACAAGGUUGCCAGACAAGCGGUGGUUCAAACCAAUGCUGGAAAAAUGCGUCGAGCUGUGGGGAAUCUGGCCGUGAUCGACGUCGUGGACGAGUGUAAGGACGAGAUUGCUGAAGGGACAACAUCGUCUUACGGGGGGGAGAUUGUUGAGGCCAACUGUACAUCCGUCGACCCUCCGAUUCGAGCAACGGCUCAGCUAAAAACGAAACUGGCAACUAUGCCAAACCAAGCAGAAUUGGUGAGGGUGCACAAAGAAGAUCUGUCACCGAACGGAAAUCAAAACAGUGAGGAAGUACCAAACGUGGUCGAAACAGCUUAGAGUAAACCGUGGAACUAAAACCCGAUAUCUUUUCCAAUUGUAAGAAUUCAGUUUAAACACUAAAAUCUUUUAAGCUGAUCAAAUCAAGCUAAAAAGGGUGUUUAAUAUUGCGUUCGAAACCCUGUCGCGAAGCUAAUCCGCAACAGGUAGGAAUUGAUUUAUGCUGAUGCAUAUUUAACAAAAUUUCUCUGCUUGACUUGAGUGA
Molecule: RNA transcript, 7397 nt
Organism: Uranotaenia lowii
Lineage: Eukaryota; Metazoa; Arthropoda; Insecta; Diptera; Culicidae
Exons: 3
Source: RefSeq, a predicted model, not a curated record